This 292-nucleotide ribosomal RNA is filed under the name uncultured bacterium. Its description in RNAcentral is "partial 16S ribosomal RNA". It matches the Rfam family "Bacterial small subunit ribosomal RNA", at positions 505 to 796 of the family's 1533-position model. The record is from RNAcentral.
GUGCCAGCCGCCGCGGUAAUACGGAGAGCACAAGCAUUAAUCGGAAUUAUUGGGCGUAAAGGGCGCGUAGGCGGGACAGUAAGUCAGAUGUGAAAUUCCGAAGCUCAACUUCGGAGCUGCAUUUGAAACUAUUGACCUAGAGGAUUGACGGAGAAAACGGAAUUCCACGUGUAGCGGUGAAAUGCGUAGAUAUGUGGAAGAACACCAGUGGCGAAAGCGGUUUUCUAGUUUUUACCUGACGCUGAGGCGCGAGAGCAAGGGGAGCAAACAGGAUUAGAAACCCUAGUAGUCC